Trichobilharzia regenti is the source of this 46-nucleotide non-coding RNA. Lineage: Eukaryota; Metazoa; Platyhelminthes; Trematoda; Strigeidida; Schistosomatidae. The record is from Rfam.
GUACCGCUGAAGAGUCCCAAACUAGGACGAAACAGCUAUCCAGUAC